UUUGUCUUGAUUUUAGUCAUUAGUUCUGCACAUACAUGGGAUUUGAGUGAAGUAACAGAGGACGGACUGUAUUGUGGCCACUGAGCUUGCGAAGCCCCUCACUGCUUACUGCAUGCAAUGACAGAAACGAGUUUGGAGUAGAAUCUCAGCCAAAAGAGGCUGAGGAAAGUGUGCUCCAUGUUGUGACAAAGCUAAUGUCAAAAAAGGACAGUGGUCUCCUGAGGAAGAUAAAGCUAAGUCUUGGGACUCAUGGAACUGGUGGCAAUUGGAUUCAUCUGCCACAAAAAGCUGGCUUUUAGAUUCUUCAACAAGAAUCAAGUUGACCACAUUAAGGGUGAUCAGAACAGUGGUUUUCUAAUAAAUAAGCCAAGCUGCCGAAAUUGCAGACAGUCACCCCUCAAUUUGGAACUUUGUUUCUUCCAUGACUUGGCAUCUGAGUAAUCGACUGCAAUACUUUGAAGGUUAAGCAAUAUCAGUAUACCAAAGAUACAAAACAAAUUGCUUCUAAAAAGUCAUGGUUCUCUUACGAAUCUGGUCUGGGAAUGGCUUCCUGUGAUUUUGAUCAUUGAUUUAUUUGUAUUAUCCUCCAACACUGUGGCACUCAAAGGUCAGACGAUAAAGUAUUUACAGUCUUGGACAUCAUUUUACACUUUUCAAUUUCAAUAUAUGCAUCACUAUUUAUGCCUGGUAAAUGCUAAAUGCAUAUAUCCACGUAGUUUAGUGUUGUUUAAUGAUGUUCAUGAUGUAAAUAGAUACUUCUUCUUGAUUUGAUGUGGAGGUGUGCAUUAGCUAAUAUUAUGUUUUCAUAGCAUUUCUUAAAUUCUCCAUCUGCAAGAUUUUUUAACUUUGGAUGAUGACUGCAGUUGAACAUCUUUCUUUUUCUUCUUUG
Molecule: long non-coding RNA, 889 nt
Filed under: Rosa chinensis
Lineage: Eukaryota; Viridiplantae; Streptophyta; Magnoliopsida; Rosales; Rosaceae
Description: sRNA RchiOBHm_Chr2g0165421
Source: RNAcentral